This 460-nucleotide ribosomal RNA is filed under the name uncultured bacterium. RNAcentral's name for it is "partial 16S ribosomal RNA". It matches the Rfam family "Bacterial small subunit ribosomal RNA", at positions 338 to 795 of the family's 1533-position model. The record is from RNAcentral.
CCUACGGUGGGCUGCAGUGAGGCAUAUUGGUCAAUGGGCGGAAGCCUGAACCAGCCAAGUAGCGUGCAGGAUGACGGCCCUACGGGUUGUAAACUGCUUUUAUACGGGAAUAACGCGCCUUACGUGUAGGGCUUUGCAUGUACCUUAUGAAUAAGGACCGGCUCAUUCCGUGCCAGCAGCCGCGGUAAUACGGAAGGUCCGGGCGUUAUCCGGAUUUAUUGGGUUUAAAGGGAGCGUAGGCCGGAUGUCAAGCGUGCUGUGAAAUGGCCGGGCUAAACCCCGGCCCUGCAGCGCGAACUGGCGUGCUGGAGUCCGCGGAAAGCAGGCGGAAUUCGUCGUGUAGCGGUGAAAUGCUUAGAUAUGACGAAGAACCCCGAUUGCGAAGGCAGCUUGCUGCAGCGGAACUGACGCUGAUGCUCGAAAGCGCGGGUAUCGAACAGGAUUAGAUACCCCGGUAGUC